GGCUCCGUAGUUGUGGCUUGCAGGCUCUAGAGUGCAGGCUCAGUAGUUGUGGUGCACGGGCUUAGUUGCUCCAUGGCAUGUGGGAUCUUCCCGGACCAGGGCUUGAACCCGUGUCCCCUGCAUUGACAGGCAAGAUUCUUAACCACUGUGCCACCACAGAAGCCCCUUAUUGUAGGUUUUUGAUUUGUGGUUACCAUGGGGUUCAUAUAUAUUGACCUGUAAUUAUAUCUAAUUGCUUUAAACUGAUAAUCAUUUAAGUUCAAACAUUCUAAAAGAUCCACAUUUUUUGCUCCCCUCCCCCACAUUUUGAGUUUUUGAUAUCAUUUUACAUCUUUGUGCUUAUCCCUUUACUGUUUAUUGUAGUUGCUUUUUAAAAUUAAAAAAAAAAUCUAAGUACUGGCUUAUUUAAGUGAUCUUUAAUCCUUACUAUAUAUUUGCCUUGCCUAUUGGGAUUUUCCCUCUCUUAUAGAUUCUUCUUUUCCAUUUAGAGUAGACCCUUCAACGUUUCUUUUAGGGUAGGUUUAGUAUUGCUGAAUUCUUUUAGUUUCUGCUUGUCGGAGAAAUUCUUUUCUUCUCUUCUAAAUGAUAAUCUGCUGGAUAGAGUAUCCUAGGUUGCAGGAUUUUCCCUUUUAGGGCUUUGAAUAACCUGAAAUUGGAUAUGUUUCCUUCCAGCCAUAAUUUCUUCAAGUACAUUUUUGAUCCCUUUCUCUCUUCUUUUUCUGGAACCCCUAUAAUGUGAAUAUUGGCACAUUUUAUAUUAUCCCAUAGAUCUUGUAUGUUGUUUUCUCCCUCCCUCCCUCCCUCCUUCCCUCCUUUCCUUCCUCCCUCCCUCCCCCUCCCCCCCUCCUUUCUUCUUUUUUUCUUUCUUCUGUUCUUACUGGGUGAUUUCUAUUAUUCUAUCUUCCAGAUCACUUAUGCAUUCUUCUGUGUCAUUUAGUCUGCUAUUCAUUGCUUCUAGAGUGCUUUUUAUCUCAGAGAUUGAAUUAUCAAUUUUUGAUCGGGUCUUUUAAAUUUCUAGUUCCUUGGUAGAAUGAUUUGUGCUUAUCUCUACUGUCUUAAUUCAGUUAGCAUUUUUAUUACCAACUUUUUGAAUUCAUUGUCUGUAGACUGAUUAUCUUUUUCAUUAUUUCUUCAGGGGUUUUCUCAUGCUCUUUCAGUUGAGAUUAGUUCCUCUGCGUUUUCAUUUUACUUAACUUUCUCUGUCUUUAUGAAUUUAGGUGCAGCAGUUAUCUGUUGUGGUCUUGAAGGGGUGUUUUUAUGUGGGAACGUCCCUAUGUAGACUGUGUGCGCCUGACAUCUUUGGUGUGUGGGUUGAAUUUGAUAUGGAUGCCAGCCCACUACUUUCCUCAGGAUGUGAUGACAACUAUCACCUUGAUGGGGGGGGUACGGCUGGCGUUGGAGGAGCCAAAGACUGUGCAGGGUUUGAGACGAGACUUCCUGUCUCCUCACUGGCCGCAGUCGCCCUGUUGGGUGGGGUCUGCUCCCAAGCUGCUGGAGUGGAAGCCCUGAGGGUCGGGCUGGAGCUGGCUCUGUUCCCUUCAAGUGUGUUUUUCCUUUUCGCCACACUGGAACCUUUGCCCCGAAGGAGGGGAGUGCAGGGUUUGUGUGCUUACAGAUAUCCAAUGUGCUGCUUGUGUAGGUAUCUGCAGUCCCGCUCAGAACCAGAUCAGGGUUGUCUUUUCCUCUAUUGUGGUGGUCUCAGCUCUAGUGUAAGGUUGUGGCAUGGAGUGGGUGGGGCUGGAGCAUUUGCUUGGGGAUCAUGGCAUUGUGGUUGCAGGAAUCGAAGUGGCUGCACUGUCAUGAGAAGAAGUCUGGGCUACUUCUGUGGCUCUGAGUAAGCGCCAGCAAUGGCUGUCACUCGGCCUGUACCAUACCCCAGGCCCGUGGCUCACCUCUGUGUCCCUAGAUCGAGUCUUUUUCCAGGAUGUGGCUGCCCUGGAUUCAGUGCCAAGCUGUGGUGUGGAGUGAGUGGGGCCAGGGGGUUCACUCAGCUUGGGUCAGAGAGAGUGUGGCAAGGUGGCAGCUGCUAGGGCAGACCUCUCUCCGCCCUGUUGGGUGGCAAGCCAGCACUGCAUACUCCUCAGCAGUGCAGUCUAGGCUUCUCCAGCCUUUCUGUGUGUCCCAGCUGUUCUCCAGGCAGCCAAAGGGUCUUGCCUCCUCUGUGUAAGACCCCAGGACUAGAAUGCCCAGUCUGUCUCUCAGCCUGCUCACUCCCCAGGGAGAGUGUCCACCUGUAUGAUCUCCCUUUUCCUCUUAGUUCCCUCCUGGGGGCACAGGUCUCGACCCCGUUCUUUUCUUCCCAUCCUACCUGGGAUGGGAUUAUGGGGGAAUCUUUUUUGCAGCCUUGGUUGUAUAGGAGCCCUUCUGCCAGUUUCCACGUAGUUUUUGGUGAGAACUGUUCUACAUGCAGGUGUAUUUUUUGAUGUGGGGCGGGAGGUGAGUUCUAUAUCCUCUUACUCUGCCAUGUUGAUCCUCCUCCCACUCUUUCUUUCUCUCUCCUUUCCUCCUCUCAUUCUCUCCCUUCCUCUACUCAGGGAACUCAGUGGUACUUGGGGUCAUUUCUCAUCUGUACUGCAGAAGUCUUUGGAGCUAACAGGAGUCUUGUGCAUACUCACCUGGGCUUGGACCCGCCAUCUUCAUAACCACAUGCUCCAGACUCAUGGACUCGGCUCCUUUCAAACAGUGUCCAUAUUGGCAGCUUUCAUCCAUUCAUUCAACAAAUACUUACUCGAGGCCUGCCCUACGCUCAGUCCUGGUCUGGGGUUACUGUGGUAAACAAGACAGGCGUGGCCCUUACUCUCAUGAAGGUUAGUGAGGGGAGAAAGGAAUGAGCAAAUACACAAGGUGAUUUUGGUGGUAAGUGCCGUGAAGAAAAGAAAGCAGGCUGAUGCGGGAGAAAGUGACUGAGGUUGUCAAGACAGGCCUCACAAAGAGGUGACGCUCGAGACCUAGAUGAUCAGAUUGCACCAGAUCACCAGGCAGGUUUCUCUGUUGAAAAUAAAAGGAUCCGACUCUAGUUAACGUAAGCAGAAAAGGGAAUGCACUGGGAGGGUAUUGGGUACUUCAGAGAAUGGGCGGGAGGCCUGGAAAAUUAGGCUAGCACAGAGGCGGUUGCUAAGGGAGGUUGGCCAGAACACUGACGAAAAUCAUGCUACAGCUGGUUCUUGUUAGGACCCAGCCACCGCUGCUCUGGAUACUGACCUCGAACCCUGGACCCACAGGCACACCACCAGAGGGACCUCCAAACUGGGCCUGAUCACCGCAGACCACAGGUUGUUAACAGGUAAGCCGGGGUUGCUCCCAUCUCACGCAGAGUGAAAGCCACAGACUUCAUAAUGUCGUUCUUGAUCCGGUCCCCCGUUCCCUAUGCUCUCAUCUAUCCUCCUUUCCUCGCCCCAACCUGCUCCACCCACAUCGCUCUCCUUGCAGUUCCUGUCACACCAAGCCUGCCCCCCCCUCUGGGGGCACUGGCUGUUCCCUCCACUUGGAGCACUUUUCUUCAAGUCUCCCCCAGAAUUACCCCUUCACCUCCUCCAAGUCUAAGCUCACAAGUCACCUUCUCUGGAGGCCCACCACAUCUCCCUAUUUAAGCCCAGCCUCCCCUGCCCACAGGAUUCCUUUAUGCUUUUUUUUUUCCUUGUCAUCUUUUAACAUGUUAUGUUUACUGUUUGUUUAUCAACUGUCUUGCUGAUGAAUCUGCCCCAGGUGCCUAGACCAGUGGCUGGCCUUGGAGUUAACACUCCACAGCUGUUGGUUGGAUGUGUAGAUGAUAAAAUGGCAUAAAAUGUCUUGGGAGGCAUAAGUUGAAUCCUGGUCUGUCACUAACCAGCUGUGAUUCUGCACAAAUAUUUUACCCAUCUGUAACAUGGGCACCUACCUCAAAUGGAUUCUUGGUGAAGAGUAAAUGAGACAAUAUGCAGAAUAAGCCCUGGUUGCCGGGCUCUCCUUCUUUCCUGCUCACCCAUUCAGAUCUAUUAAGAGGAGUCUCCCAAGCCCAUAUGAUCACAAUGAACGUUUCCAUUUACUUUGGAUUAUAUGUCAUUAUAAAUAUUAACAAAUAAGACUUAAAAAGGACACCUUCGGGUAGGUCAGACAAAAGUACAAAAACUGUGUGUGGGGCUGCAGUUUCAGGACUGUUUCUGCAGCCAUCACAUGAUAGCAAAACGGUGGUAAGCAGUGCACGAGUCUGCGUCGAAGACAGCCAGAGUCCAUGCAUCGGGAGGUUCUCUCGGUUGGAGAAAGAACAAAGGGAGGACAUGCUCGGGCCAGGAGAUGCAGUUCCUCGCUCUCGCCACUAGAGGUCAGGAGGUUACCGCUUCAGGGUUGGAAGACGGGCCCGUGGGGGAUUGGCUAGUGGUGGCGGUGGGUGCUGAGGCUAGGCAGGGGGGUCGGGGUGGCGGUGGAUGCCACACCUGGUGACCCCCUGGUUAUUGACAUCUGACUUUGGAAUGACUUUUGUUUUGUUUUUGUUUGGCGUCGAAUUCACCGUCUUUGUGGGGCUGAGGGACCAGAGGAGGUUGGGGUCAAAGGGAGAGCUCACACUGUAGCUUCUCAAAGCGCCUUCUUCUCUAACAAACAGAGAUACAACCUGUAAGGGGUCCAGAACAGUGCCAGGGUCCUAGUGAAGGUUCUCCCUGGGAGGUCUUCUACCCAAGUGCCCCCUCCUCCACUCGGGCUAGCUGUCCAGGAGCCCCACCUCCCAGCCUGUCCCUGUGGUCAGCUGGGACCAUGUUUAAGGACCAAACCUGCUCUUGCACAGUCUAGGGCAGUAGAAGGCCUUGGACUAGGUGCCAGGUGUUCUGGGUUCUUAUCCCAACUGGGUCCUGUGUAGGCCCCUUUUGCUUGCUUGCUAGGCCUUAGUUUCUCCAUGUGUCUAACAAGGAAGUUGUACUAGGUGAGGCUCUAGGUGUGCUUCUAACUUGGCCAUUCAGCAUUUCCGUGUGUUUACAGGGAAUUUGUGAAGCUCCUCUCAAUGAGAAACCUGCCCCCCCACCCACCCAAAAGGCAAAGAGCUAAGACGAUAACCCAGAGUUCACCCAGACACAAGGUUCCUCAUAAAUAGACUCAGCCUCUCUGAAUCUCCUUCCUCAUCUGUCAAAUGGUGAUGGCAAUUAAACCCAUCUCACAGGGCUGUGAAGAUUCAUCAAGAGGACAGUGGUUGUAAAACCCUUACCACACACAAAGUCUCCUUAAGGAAAACCAGGACUCCCUGACCAGCAAAGUUUGCCAGGUACUGUAUGGGGGCUGGAGUCCUGUUGCCCCUGCAAAAUGGAAAAAGGCUGAUGGGCACUUGGUGGGAUUCACAUCACCCCAGGCCUCAGAUGGUAAUGUGCUUUGUGUCUGCAGCAUAAGGUCUAGCCCCAGUGCCCCUUGAGAGCCCUGUACAAGCGUUGGUGUGGGUGUGGCGUCCAGAGCUGGAGGUGGUGGGGCAGGGGCUGUGGAACCUGGUCUGCCUCAGCUGUGGUAGGGCUGGAAGGCUUCAGGUAGAUCACUUUCCCUCUCUGGGCUUUGUUUCCCACCAGUGCAGUGAUGAUGGGUUGAACACAGAAAUUCCUGGGUUCUGCAUUUGUUCAUCCAGCGUUCCUGAAGGCCCCUUAGUCGGCAGGAAAAGUUUGGGGCUUCAAGCCUGGGCCCAAGAUUCUGAUGCCCUCAACCCCUUCCUGGAGACCUUUACCCAGGGUGCAGAGGGCUCUCUCUUAGCUCCUGGAAGACAGAACCAGCCCUUCGCAGAAACGAGGCCCUGGACUGCUGCUGAGUACUCCUGAAAGGGAUUUCAGUAGGGCUAGGAUGCAGGGGCAGCCAUCUGGGGCUCCCCACUUCCCAACCCUGAACCCAGAAGGGCCCUGGGUGGGGGAAGGGGAGAGGAGGGUAAGGACAAGGAGGACUUUUUGGUUCUUUUCAUGCAAAGAAAAACAGACUCUUUCUCUUCUUGACUGCAACUGACCUGAUGCUUAAGCUUGGGGCGAGAGGCAGGAUCCAUCCUCCAGCUUCCUCAGGAGGAGAAAGAUCAAAGAAACUGCACUCACCCUUCAAGGCCUUGCUAAAGCAUCACUUCCUCCAGGAAGCCCUCCCUGCUCUCCCAGCCGAGUCAGCAGAAUCCACAGAACGUGCAGGCAAUCAAACCAGUGCUUCAGGCGCUCGCCCUUGGCAUUGAUGCCCAGAACCACACCGCCUGCAGAGGGGAGCCGAGAGGCAGCCGGGACACGGUAUCUGGAAUUAUAACCAAUCAAUAGGCAUAGGGUGAGAAGACACUCUGAGUACACACGGAGCCAGCAGGGCUUGGAAGAGAGAUUCCCAGGCCUCCCAUCAUCCUAACCAUCGGAUGUCCCCAGCACUACUCUGUGACAAAGGUGAGCAGUCAGUGCAGUGGGAGAAGCGAGUGGGUCCUUCAUCACCUGGACCUCUGUUGACAGCCCGUUCCUGAUGUCACAGAGCCCCUCUAUCCCCUAGGAAAGAGGGUUUUCUUUAUUUCUGGAAGUCUAAUUUUCACAGCUCACAUUUCUCACCAGAAAAAGUUUUAGCAAAGUUGGUCCCUUGCUAGAGCUCUUCUUUUUGUAAUAGCAGAUUAUGGAGAUAAAAUUCACAACGCUAUAAAAUUCAUCUUUCUCAGGUGUAUAACGCAGCCGUUUUUUAGCAUAGUCCCUGAGUUGUACAACCAUUGCCGCUACCUCACUGGAGCUUUGAGGAAGGAAGAAAGGUCUUUUGGGCGGUGACAGCAGUGCUUCCUGCAGGGAAGGAGGGAAGCCCUGCUUGCGGGCCAGCUCCCUCCACGGGCAUCAGCUCCUUAGACUUUGAUGCCGAACAGCAGUCUUCAUCUGGGGCUUAGAAAGGUGGAGGGACUCGCCCAAGGUCACACAGCUGCUCAGCACAGGGAUGGUGCUCAGAAGCCAGGCCCUCUCCUUUGCAAAGCUUCCUACCCUGUCCCUGCAUGGACACUAGUGACCAUUGCCCUGCUCCUGCUGACAGGACCACAUCUGUCUCACCCACUACCAGCUUCCUGGUACCCAACUUGAGGCCUGGCACUGGGUGGGAUCAGUGAACAUAGAAAGUGGUACCUCAUUAUUGCUUUUCUGUGCACUUUUUUAAAAAGUUGUGAUUGUUAUUACAUAAGAAAUACUGGUUCACUAUAGAAGCACUAGAAAAUAUGUAUUAACAGAAGUUGGGGGUGGAGAGAGAAAUGAAUACACAGGUCUGCACAAAAAACCUGUUCUUUAGCAGCUUUAUACAGCCAUCAGAAAUUGGGAACAGCCCCCAUGCACUUCAACAGGAAGUGACCUGACGGACGACUACUUGGCAAUGCGCAGACCUACAGACCCAAACUCCGGGCUCAGGCACCACGUGGCUGGCUCCCCAGAGCAUUAGGUUAUG
Molecule: long non-coding RNA, 7368 nt
Organism: Physeter macrocephalus (sperm whale)
Lineage: Eukaryota; Metazoa; Chordata; Mammalia; Artiodactyla; Physeteridae
Exons: 4
Source: RefSeq, a predicted model, not a curated record